UGCCCAGCUUGCUGGGCGGAUUAGUGGCGAACGGGUGAGUAAUACGUGAGUAACCUGCCCUUGACUCUGGGAUAAGCCUGGGAAACUGGGUCUAAUACUGGAUACUACGUCCCAUCGCAUGGUGGGGGGUGGAAAGGGUUUUACUGGUUUUGGAUGGGCUCACGGCCUAUCAGCUUGUUGGUGGGGUAAUGGCUCACCAAGGCGACGACGGGUAGCCGGCCUGAGAGGGUGACCGGCCACACUGGGACUGAGACACGGCCCAGACUCCUACGGGAGGCAGCAGUGGGGAAUAUUGCACAAUGGGCGGAAGCCUGAUGCAGCGACGCCGCGUGAGGGAUGACGGCCUUCGGGUUGUAAACCUCUUUCAGUAGGGAAGAAGCGAGAGUGACGGUACCUGCAGAAGAAGCGCCGGCUAACUACGUGCCAGCAGCCGCGGUAAUACGUAGGGCGCAAGCGUUGUCCGGAAUUAUUGGGCGUAAAGAGCUCGUAGGCGGUUUGUCGCGUCUGCUGUGAAAGCCCGGGGCUCAACCCCGGGUCUGCAGUGGGUACGGGCAGACUAGAGUGCAGUAGGGGAGACUGGAAUUCCUGGUGUAGCGGUGAAAUGCGCAGAUAUCAGGAGGAACACCGAUGGCGAAGGCAGGUCUCUGGGCUGUUACUGACGCUGAGGAGCGAAAGCAUGGGGAGCGAACAGGAUUAGAUACCCUGGUAGUCCAUGCCGUAAACGUUGGGCACUAGGUGUGGGGGACAUUCCACGUUUUCCGCGCCGUAGCUAACGCAUUAAGUGCCCCGCCUGGGGAGUACGGCCGCAAGGCUAAAACUCAAAGGAAUUGACGGGGGCCCGCACAAGCGGCGGAGCAUGCGGAUUAAUUCGAUGCAACGCGAAGAACCUUACCAAGGCUUGACAUUCACCGGAUCGCCCCAGAGAUGGGGUUUCCCUUCGGGGUCGGUGGACAGGUGGUGCAUGGUUGUCGUCAGCUCGU
Molecule: ribosomal RNA, 980 nt
Filed under: marine bacterium AK1_002
Lineage: Bacteria
Description: bacterial SSU rRNA
Rfam family: Bacterial small subunit ribosomal RNA
Source: RNAcentral